GGUUUUAAUGGUAAUUAGAUAAUUUGAACUUAUUUAAAAGGACGUUCGAUUCGUUUAAAAACU
RNAcentral lists this transfer RNA (63 nucleotides) under Geloina coaxans. RNAcentral describes it as "tRNA-Ser". Lineage: Eukaryota; Metazoa; Mollusca; Bivalvia; Venerida; Cyrenidae. The record is from RNAcentral.